This is a long non-coding RNA of Rhododendron vialii, 1734 nucleotides long. RefSeq lists it as uncharacterized. NCBI's taxonomy places the organism in Eukaryota, Viridiplantae, Streptophyta, Magnoliopsida, Ericales, Ericaceae. The transcript is spliced from 3 exons. The record is from RefSeq and is a predicted model, not a curated record.
UCUCUCUCUCUCUCUCUCUCUCUCUCUCUCAUGUGCACUAGUAUGUUCCAGUUCCCGUUUCAAAAUCGAAAGCUUGAGGGGUGGCUAAGACGGCGAAGGCGAGGUAGAUCUGGCGUAGUGUCGAAGUUCCGAUCAUCGUCGUCGAAGUUUCAAUCAUAAUCGAACUGAAAUUGGUCAGAACAUUUACUCUCUAUCUCCUCUUCUUCGUUGAAGGUAUACUCAGAAAUUUGGGUUUUUUUUAAUUGCUUUGUAAUUUUUGGUAUGGGUUUGGUUCGGAAAAAGUCGAACCAAAUCUGGGUUUGGUUUGGGAAAAAACAAAACAAAAUUUAAUUUUGGUUUCAAUCCAUUGGUUUAGGUUGAUCGGCGUGGAUGAAGUGGUGGGCAUGGCUGGUGGUGGUCAGAUCCUUUGUUGAUGUGAUUAAUCAAAAGAAAAAGUUUCUUCAAGCAGAAUUCUAGUAUGUGGGAGGAGUUUGCUGAAGUAGAUACUUGUCUUCUUUGCUUUUGCAAGGAGCGAUGCAUGGUUACAUUCUCAUUUAGUUGUGUAGCUUUCUCUUGCUGUUUCAAACGGUUGAUUUUUAUAUUUUCUAUUACUUUAUUACUGCUGAUUCCUUUCAGUUUUUGGAAUAUUCUUAUACCUCAACUUUGUGUUAUGCUUUAUUCAUUAACAUGUUAUAGGUGAUGGCCCCAACAAUUCGUAAUACAGGACAAAUCGAUGUACAGCCUAAUUCGUAUUAGCCGCAGGAAGGAAGUAUAUAUGGAUGAUGCGGCUAUUGUUUAGCCCCUUAAUGAACCAGGGGAAGUUUGUGCAUAUACAUGGCUACAGAGUACCAAAUUCUAUUGAAAGUGCUAAUGGUGAGUAAUAAGUCCACUAUAACAUACCCAGUUCCUGUACAGUUAGACUAGUUAGUUUCUCUGGAGUAUUUAAGUUCUCUAUUGUGAAAUUAUUUGUUUUGUAUCUAAAGAUGUUCUUAUAUUUCAAACAGGUAUCACAUGAAACUAUGGAUUUUGGGCUUUGGACGAUGGAGAUGGCUUGCUGGGAAAGGAUUUGUCAACCUUGUUUUGCAACUUCAUUUUGUUCAUAUGCUGGUAUUACUUGUGUCACUUGGCAUGAAUUCUUGUAAAAGUUUUGUUAGAACCUUUUUCGUUUAAUAUGUUAAGACAAGGAGUUGGACAGCUUUUUGUACAAUUUGAAUGACAAGUUCAUUGAAUUUUUAUUCUUGUAUCCUAGCAUAUGGUGAUCUUAUUGAUGCAUAUGUUCAAAGUUAGUUGGUGUAUUAUGUUGAUAUGUAAAGUGUGGCUUAUGGUGAUCCAUAUAACAUUGCCAAUGUUGUUGGAAACGUGGAUAUAACAUGGAGAAGGAAUUUAUUUAUUUUUUAAAUAAAGGAUUCUUUUGGGGCAGUUAGAAGUGCCGCAUAACCAAAGCUACAAAGGCAUUGAUAAAUGCCACAUAAACUAAGCUGUCCCUGCACUUCAAAGUGCCUCGAUAUAUAAUUAACCAUGGUUAGUACUCCUAUCCAAUAAUCUAUCGAUGCACCAGAAACUGCCUUAAUAUGAUGGUUUACUAAGCACUUUCGUAUGCCGGGUAAAAGAACUAUUGAGGCUUGUAAAAGUGCCGCAUAAAGCUAUUGCUGCACCGUUACAAGCGGCACUUGCAUAUUUUGCCCCAAUAGCUAAAAUGCCCCAUUAGGUCUCUUUUUGGGGCAGUUUUGACUGCCUCGACAUCAUGAUUUUGUU